This 417-nucleotide long non-coding RNA is filed under the name Malus domestica (apple). RNAcentral's name for it is "long non-coding RNA (MDOM_LNC004611)". Lineage: Eukaryota; Viridiplantae; Streptophyta; Magnoliopsida; Rosales; Rosaceae. The record is from RNAcentral.
UCUCCUUGCCAUCUUCUGUCGAAUAGUAAUGUUGAAAUCAAUGAGUGCAUUCGUAUUUGUGUGUAAAUUUGUAUGUAAAUCAAGGUUGUCAAACCUAAAACUUUGCAAACAGAAGAGUGAAUUGACGCGAAACCCAGAAGAUUUUGAGCCAAGUACCUGAUACCUGACGGAGGGGAGCCAAAGAAAGUUGAGACUGAGAACGAGCUGGGAGACGACGGCUUACGGAAUUGGCCUCCGUGAAAAAAUAGUUAAAUUACUAAUUAUUUGUUGCAGUCCUAUUUAGAAUAGGAAUGUGAUUGUGUAAAUCCUAGGAAAUAUGGGAAUGUAUCUUAUAUUCCUAUUAGGAUUAGAUUACUUAUUAAAUGUUGUAAUCCUAAAGGGAAAGGUUUUACCCUUCCUACUACUAUAAAUAAAGGC